AAGGGCAAUGAUGCAUAGCCGAGUUGAGAGACUGAUCGGCCACAUUGGGACUGAGACACGGCCAAAACUCUACGGGGAGGCAGCAGUAGGAAUCUUCCACAAUGGACGCAAGUCUGAUGGAGCAGCGCCGCGUGAGUGAAGAAGGGUUUCGGCUCGUAAAGCUCUGUUGGUAGUGAAGAAAGAUAGAGGUAGUAACUGGCCUUUAUUUGACGGUAAUUACUUAGAAGUCACGGCUAACUACGUGCCAGCAGCCGCGGUAAU
This 261-nucleotide ribosomal RNA is filed under the name uncultured Lactobacillus sp. RNAcentral describes it as "partial 16S ribosomal RNA". It matches the Rfam family "Bacterial small subunit ribosomal RNA", at positions 269 to 524 of the family's 1533-position model. The record is from RNAcentral. Lineage: Bacteria; Bacillati; Bacillota; Bacilli; Lactobacillales; Lactobacillaceae.